Molecule: ribosomal RNA, 395 nt
Filed under: Nelima paessleri
Lineage: Eukaryota; Metazoa; Arthropoda; Arachnida; Opiliones; Sclerosomatidae
Description: 12S ribosomal RNA
Rfam family: Microsporidia small subunit ribosomal RNA
Source: RNAcentral
GGAUUAUAUUUAAAAUUAAAGAAUUUGGCGGUGCCUUAUCCUUAUAGAGGAACUUGUCCUUUGAUCGAUAGUCCCCGUUAAAUCUAACCUUAUCUAAAGUUUAUAUACCGUUGUUGUUAGAUUACUUGGCAGAUGAUUUAUGAGUUUUCUUGAUAAAAUUUGUUUUAUGACUUCAAAUCAAGGUGUAGUAGAUGGUAGGGGUUGAGAUGAGUUACUUUGGGUAUGAGAUAGAGGACUAGAUGCAAUUCUUUUUUGUUAUAGGAUUUAUAAGUAAAUUUUUAUUAGUAAAAUAAAUUGAAAGGGGGUCUGGGGCAUGUACAUAUCGCCCGUCACUCUGGUUUUAAUAUCGGAUAAGUCGUAACAAAGUAGGUGUAAGGGAACUUGCCCCUAGAUGA